RNAcentral lists this ribosomal RNA (253 nucleotides) under uncultured bacterium. Its description in RNAcentral is "partial 16S ribosomal RNA". It matches the Rfam family "Bacterial small subunit ribosomal RNA", at positions 524 to 776 of the family's 1533-position model. The record is from RNAcentral.
UACGAAGGGGGCUAGCGUUGCUCGGAAUCACUGGGCGUAAAGCGCACGUAGGCGGCUUUCUAAGUCAGGGGUGAAAUCCUGGAGCUCAACUCCAGAACUGCCUUUGAUACUGGAGAGCUUGAGUCCGGAAGAGGUGAGUGGAACUCCGAGUGUAGAGGUGAAAUACGUAGAUAUUCGCAAGAACACCAGUGGCGAAGGCGGCUCACUGGCCCGAUACUGACGCUGAGGUGCGAAAGCGUGGGGAGCAAACAGG